GAUAAACGCUGGCGGCGUGCCUAAUACAUGCAAGUCGAGCGAACGGACGAGAAGCUUGCUUCUCUGAUGUUAGCGGCGGACGGGUGAGUAACACGUGGAUAACCUACCUAUAAGACUGGGAUAACUUCGGGAAACCGGAGCUAAUACCGGAUAAUAUUUUGAACCGCAUGGUUCAAAAGUGAAAGACGGUCUUGCUGUCACUUAUAGAUGGAUCCGCGCUGCAUUAGCUAGUUGGUAAGGUAACGGCUUACCAAGGCAACGAUGCAUAGCCGACCUGAGAGGGUGAUCGGCCACACUGGAACUGAGACACGGUCCAGACUCCUACGGGAGGCAGCAGUAGGGAAUCUUCCGCAAUGGGCGAAAGCCUGACGGAGCAACGCCGCGUGAGUGAUGAAGGUCUUCGGAUCGUAAAACUCUGUUAUUAGGGAAGAACAUAUGUGUAAGUAACUGUGCACAUCUUGACGGUACCUAAUCAGAAAGCCACGGCUAACUACGUGCCAGCAGCCGCGGUAAUACGUAGGUGGCAAGCGUUAUCCGGAAUUAUUGGGCGUAAAGCGCGCGUAGGCGGUUUUUUAAGUCUGAUGUGAAAGCCCACGGCUCAACCGUGGAGGGUCAUUGGAAACUGGAAAACUUGAGUGCAGAAGAGGAAAGUGGAAUUCCAUGUGUAGCGGUGAAAUGCGCAGAGAUGUGGAGGAACACCAGUGGCGAAGGCGACUUUCUGGUCUGUAACUGACGCUGAUGUGCGAAAGCGUGGGGAUCAAACAGGAUUAGAUACCCUGGUAGUCCACGCCGUAAACGAUGAGUGCUAAGUGUUAGGGGGUUUCCGCCCCUUAGUGCUGCAGCUAACGCAUUAAGCACUCCGCCUGGGGAGUACGACCGCAAGGUUGAAACUCAAAGGAAUUGACGGGGACCCGCACAAGCGGUGGAGCAUGUGGUUUAAUUCGAAGCAACGCGAAGAACCUUACCAAAUCUUGACAUCCUUUGACAACUCUAGAGAUAGAGCCUUCCCCUUCGGGGGACAAAGUGACAGGUGGUGCAUGGUUGUCGUCAGCUCGUGUCGUGAGAUGUUGGGCUAAGUCCCGCAACGAGCGCAACCCUUAAGCUUAGUUGCCAUCAUUAAGUUGGGCACUCUAAGUUGACUGCCGGUGACAAACCGGAGGAAGGUGGGGAUGACGUCAAAUCAUCAUGCCCCUUAUGAUUUGGGCUACACACGUGCUACAAUGGACAAUACAAAGGGCAGCGAAACCGCGAGGUCAAGCAAAUCCCAUAAAGUUGUUCUCAGUUCGGAUUGUAGUCUGCAACUCGACUACAUGAAGCUGGAAUCGCUAGUAAUCGUAGAUCAGCAUGCUACGGUGAAUACGUUCCCGGGUCU
RNAcentral lists this ribosomal RNA (1372 nucleotides) under uncultured bacterium. Its description in RNAcentral is "bacterial SSU rRNA". It matches the Rfam family "Bacterial small subunit ribosomal RNA", at positions 28 to 1381 of the family's 1533-position model. The record is from RNAcentral.